GCCAGGCGUGGUGGCGGGCGCCUGUAAUCCCAGCUACUCUGGAGGCUGAGGUAGGAGAAUCACUUGAACCCAGGAGGCGGAGGUUGUAGUGAGCCGAGAUCGGGCCACUGCACUCCAGCCUGGGUGACAGAGUGGGACUCCGUCUCAA
Unclassified non-coding RNA from Macaca fascicularis (crab-eating macaque), 148 nucleotides. It matches the Rfam family "Metazoan signal recognition particle RNA". From Rfam's summary of the family: The signal recognition particle (SRP) is a universally conserved ribonucleoprotein. It is involved in the co-translational targeting of proteins to membranes. The record is from Ensembl. NCBI's taxonomy places the organism in Eukaryota, Metazoa, Chordata, Mammalia, Primates, Cercopithecidae.